Scatophagus argus is the source of this 3089-nucleotide long non-coding RNA. RefSeq lists it as uncharacterized. The transcript has 2 exons. The record is from RefSeq and is a predicted model, not a curated record. Lineage: Eukaryota; Metazoa; Chordata; Actinopteri; Scatophagidae.
AAAUCAAAUGUGUUUUAAAGCAUCUUGUGCUGUCAGGUCAUAUGGACUUGGACGCAUUCAACAGUGCAAUUAUUUGUUUCCCUUAUUCUCCUGUGGAUGCAAGGGAUAAGCCUUGCCCCAUAUCUGUCAAUACACUGUCAUCAAAUGACAAUAAAUUGAAACAGUCAGCUGGGCAAAUGCUGGUUUGGUAAAGAUCCUGCCAUUUCUCAUUGACAGAAUUGGAGAAAAUGAUUACACACAAAUGCUACUCAAGUUGUUAAAGAUUGUCAAAAUUCUGUUUUCACCUAUUAUUGCUCUCUCAACUCUUUCAAGGCUGAAGCUUUUAAUAGAGCAACAUUUGAAACAUUUCAAACAACUGUUUCCAGAUGCAAAUAUUAUACCUAAACAGCAUUACUUGCUGCAUCUUCCCUCUCAGAUUAAGGCACUUGGGCCUACAGUGAGGCAUAUGUGUAUGCGUUUUGAGUCAAAGCAUUGCUUUUUUAAGCAGUGGGCUUUGAAAAGUAGUUUUAAAAAUAUCUGUAAGUCUCUUGUUAAGCACAACCAACUUUAUGAAUGUAGUCAGAAUGUGUAUGAGAAACAUCCAAUUUGUUCAAGUGAAGUUGACAUGGGCCCAGCAUCUGAGGUGAAAAAUGUUCACUAUGUCGAAGGAAAGAUCAAAGACUUCUUAGGAAUAGAGCACGUUGAACACAUAGUUUCGGUACAGUGGAUUAUGCAACAUGGAAAUAAGUAUACAUGUGGAAAAUCUUUGGUUAUUUCUAAUGUCAUCAAUGAUAAUCCAGAGUUUGCACUUGUGAAAAACAUUUAUAUUUUAAAUUCGUCAGUGUAUUGUUUUGAAUGCCAACCACUCUCUACAGUUGGGUGGAAUGAUCAUUAUUUAGCUUACGAGGUAGAAGUUCCCGACCUAGCUCAAGCAAAUAUUUUCAUGGAUGCUGAAAAGCUUGUUGAUUAUACACCAUACUACUAUGUAAACUUCAAUAAUAGCAAGUACAUUCCACUGAAGUAUGAUCUCACAGACAUCAUCAAACAUCAUUCUUGAGUCUGUAUUGAGUGUACAGUUGGGCUGAUUUUUUUUAAGCACUGACAAACACUGUAAUUGAUGACAGCAUUUAUUUGUACUUAUUACUUGUUUAAUAAUGUGGUACAGUAUGUCUGUCUUUUUUUACAUAUCUAAUGGACAUGGUUUGCUGGAAAUGUAAUAGCCACACUGUACUGUGAGUUGCAAGCCCUGCAUGUUUUCAAUAAAGCAAAUUUGUAGUCUCAAUUCAAGUCAAGUCUAUUUCUUGAAACAAGACGAUUCAUCUUUUGCAAAUAACACAGCAGCUUAAAAACCUUAUGACAUAUUAAAAAAACUUGUUUCAUCUGAGAUAUAACUCAAAACAAGAUGUUUUCAAGACUGUUUCACUUAGCAAGAUAUUCAAGAUGCACUGUCUAAAAACAAGCGCCUUUAUCUCACUUAAAUCUUACUCUUUAGGUGAUUUUGUCUUGUAUUAAGUGUGAUGAGAUGUUUUGACUAGAAAUUAGAAAAAUAUACUUGGCAAGAUUUUGAGUUUUUGCAGUGCAUCAGAAGUGUCUUAACAUCAAUCCUGGAGCAGUCAUCCAAACAACUUGACUGUUCUUCUGUUAGGACAUUUUUGUAUGAAGUCAUGGCUGUGAUCAACAGCAGGCCUUUAACCACUGAUUACCUCUGUGAUGCUUCUUGCCCCGAGCCCCUGACACCUAAUCACAUUUUGACCAUGAAGUCUACAGUAAUCGCUCCACCUCCUGGACGAUUUGUUAGAGAGGAUCUUUAUCUUCGUAAAAGAUGGCGUCGUGUUUAGUUCCUGGCCAACAGUUUCUGGUUGCGAUGGAAGAGAGAAUAUCUCUUGAAUCUUCAGCAUCGACAGAAGUGGACCAAGGAACAAAGAAACGCAAAGAAACGCAUCCAGAAGACUGUUACACUACUGGAAGCAGAUUGAAGGCCUGAGUUUACACUUUCAUCCUGUCAUUAUAAGCUUAUAAGCAGUAGUUGAAUCUUAAAGUUAGUAAAUAAAAGGUUAUAAAUAAGUUCAUCACAAGUUCAUAUAGCUUCACAUUAGGAAUAAAGAAAUUAAAAUAAAAUCACAGAAGAUUUUGGUGGGAGUAUAACUGUCAUCAGUUACCUAAAUGGCAUGAAUAAUAUUUCCAAUAUAUAAAUUAAUAUGGUUAUUUCAUUUGUUUAUGGUGAGCAUAGUUUUCAUGGUGCGCAGUAUAUUUUUGUGUUGUAUUGGGGUGGAAUCUUCUAUUCUACUUCCUGGGGGACAUAAUUCAGGGACGUACAGGAAAGGGAUAUCUUGAAAAACAGCGGUAAUCCAGUUUUCGCCUACCAGGACCAAAGAAGGCUUAAGCUUUAUGUGUGAGAUGUAUUUGAUGAAUAUUGCAAGAGAAGAAUGUAACGCGGGUCAUUUAACGUUUGAAUGGACCCCGGUUGUGGAAUAUUGUUCUUGAAGAAAUGUUAUGAAGAGUGAUGAACCUUUGUGUGCAACGAACCUAGCUCCUUUUGGUAACAAGCUGCCAGCGAGUUUUCACGGGACGAAGCUGAAUAAAGAACGCCCUGUAGUUUAAAAGAAAACUCCGUUUCCUCGUGUUACUGUGGGAGCUACAGUGAAAACUCGAUGUCAAGACCCAAGGCGUGUGGAGAAGCAAGCGGCAAGUCAUCGCCAUCGCAUCGCAUUCCUCAGCGCUUCUUCUGAGAUGAGACGCACGAGAGCUACUUUGCAGUCCGCAGUACGGUGCAGGUGCCAUUGUUUUGCUAGCGUAGGCUCAACAUUUUGAACGGACAUUUCAGAGACUUCGGUUUGAGCUCUAUAGGAACUCAUUUGAAUGGUGUUUGUCUACAACAAGAGACUCUUGGUUUGGAUUUCAAUUUAAAUGUGACCGUGUUCAUAUCUAGGUCAAUCUAUGUUUUCUUUGUUGGCUAAUAACUCUUGGUUUGAUGAUGGUCCAUUUAGGCUUAGGCAAGUUCAAUACCAUAAUGGCAGGUUGUAGCCAUUAUGCAUGAUCAUAUGCAUGUGUGUGACUAACAUAACAGUUAUUUCAAAUGCUCUUUUAAAUAGAGAAUGUUUAUAGUUGAA